AAUGUGAGUUGAGAGAGGGUGUACAAGGGGUAUCCAGUUUUGGAUACAUGGUUAGGUUUGGCUUAAAUCCAAAGUAUUGUAUCUUCAAGUCUUGUUUUUGUAUUU
This is a long non-coding RNA of Telopea speciosissima, 105 nucleotides long. RefSeq lists it as uncharacterized. NCBI's taxonomy places the organism in Eukaryota, Viridiplantae, Streptophyta, Magnoliopsida, Proteales, Proteaceae. The transcript has 3 exons. The record is from RefSeq and is a predicted model, not a curated record.